RNAcentral lists this ribosomal RNA (557 nucleotides) under uncultured bacterium. RNAcentral describes it as "bacterial SSU rRNA". It matches the Rfam family "Bacterial small subunit ribosomal RNA", at positions 102 to 694 of the family's 1533-position model. The record is from RNAcentral.
ACGGGUGCGUAACGCGUGGGAAUCUGCCUUGGGGUUCGGAAUAACUCCCCGAAAGGGGUGCUAAUACCGGAUGAUGUCGAAAGACCAAAGAUUUAUCGCCCUGAGAUGAGCCCGCGUAGGAUUAGCUAGUUGGUGUGGUAAAGGCGCACCAAGGCGACGAUCCUUAGCUGGUCUGAGAGGAUGAUCAGCCACACUGGGACUGAGACACGGCCCAGACUCCUACGGGAGGCAGCAGUGGGGAAUAUUGGACAAUGGGCGAAAGCCUGAUCCAGCAGUGUCGCGUGAGUGAUGAAGGCCUUAGGGUUGUAAAGCUCUUUUACCCGGGAAGAUAAUGACUGUACCGGGAGAAUAAGCCCCGGCUAACUCCGUGCCAGCAGCCGCGGUAAUACGGAGGGGGCUAGCGUUGUUCGGAAUUACUGGGCGUAAAGCGCACGUAGGCGGCCUUGUAAGUCAGAGGUGAAAGCCUGGAGCUCAACUCCAGAACUGCCUUUGAGACUGCAUCGCUUGAAUCCAGGAGAGGUGAGUGGAAUUCCGAGUGUAGAGGUGAAAUUCGUAGA